Anolis carolinensis (green anole) is the source of this 5083-nucleotide long non-coding RNA. RefSeq lists it as uncharacterized. Lineage: Eukaryota; Metazoa; Chordata; Lepidosauria; Squamata; Anolidae. The transcript has 2 exons. The record is from RefSeq and is a predicted model, not a curated record.
UGUGGAAGCAGCUUCUACUCAUCAAGUCCCAGAGGGAGGGACGUCUCCCCGGCGGAAAAGCAGAAAAGGGGGCGGCGAAGCUGAGCGGACCCCUCCCCAUUUCAGCCAGCUGAUGGGCGUUCAACUAAGGCUGAACAACGAGAGAGGCGCCAAAGCAGACUUGCCUGGCACUGAGCUCCGAAAAGGCUCGUCUCCAAGAGGGCAGGUUUCUUCCAUUCUCAGUGGAAUGCUGUUGUUUGAAGUGAGGGCAUCUCCAGUGAAGGCAGACACCGACAACGAACCUCCGGUCACACGGAAAGCUCUUGAAGCUGGUUAAAAUCACAUGGUUGCUUUCUUUGUUGUUGUUUCCAAACAUUCUUCUGAAAGUGUCUGAAACAGAAUCUUGCAUGCUCAUUAUUGAGAAAUCUCUUUUACAUUUAUGUAGCAGGUCGUGGCAGUAACACCACUAUUCUGAGGAAAACUACUGGAUGUCUAGUAACCCAGUUGAAGUGAAACUUAUGAAUAAGCAGGCUUAUUUUAUUAGCAAGGUACGAGGAGCAGUUGGCUGAAUUAUUAUGGCAAUUGUCCCUAAAAGUAAGUCAAUGCAAAAUUGGGAUGUAUAGCUUCACAAUUUUCAUCCUUCCUGGCAAGAAUUAAUAGUUUUGAUCUUUCUCUACAGUGCAAGAAAAUAAUUACAUCUGAAUAGUUUACAAAGAUUGUUUGAGACUUGUUAUGUGCAAAAAAGGAGUGCAAUAUCUGCUGUGUAGAAACAUAUUUUCUCAUCAUAAAAUGGCAUUUUCUGCCCAGAAAAGCUAAUCUAUGAGCAUAAAAUGCAGCUUUAUGUACAGAAAGCUUAUUCUUGUAUGAAAAGAUUUUUUUGGUGAAGAAAUAGUAAUUUUGUACUAUUUUCAGCACAAAAACUCAGUUUUUACAAAAAAAGGGCACAUUUUUAUAUACUCUGAGCGCCCUUUCAGACAGGCCCUAUAUCCCAAAAUCUGAUCCAAGGUUUUCUGUUUAUUCCAGAUUAUCUGGCUGUGCUGACUCAUAUAAUCCAGUUUAAAGCAGAAAACCUGGGAUCAGAUCCUGGGAUAUAGGGCCUAUCUGGAAGGGUCCUGAGUCCCAGAUUCUAAAAGUCCUUCACUUGUCUAGGAUUACAUUGAUAAGAGCUCUUGACAUCCAAGAAACCUGUUUUUGACCAAUUUUUUUUUUUUAAAAAAUUCAAUUCCUAAUGCACAGUGGAUGAAUGUUGGAUUUCGACUAAGAGGAUAUGGGCUCAAAUCCGUCACCAGGAUGUUAUAAAGCAAAAAGAUGCUGAUUUCUGGUAUUUAGAGUCGUACAAACAUUAUAAUAAUAAAACAUGUAGGGUUCCAAUUUAUAUCAAUUCCUAAUCACAAAACAUGAUUUAGACUUGUGAGUGUGUAAAGAAUGGAGUUAGUAGCAAACAUUUUCCUAGACUGGGUACUUUCUCAAAUGCAUGCUCUAUAAAGUUUUAUGCCACCAAUUUCAUUUUCUCAGCCUCUAAGGUGCUACAUGAUCCAUUUGGAUAUUCAUAUUCCAGACUAAUACGUUAUAUCUUAUCAUUCUUCUUAUGUCAAGUCACUAUUCCUUAGGAAGGUUACUUCUGUUAGUGUACAAUGGUUCAACAGCUCCCCAGUUCUGGCAGUCACCCGCUUUGACACUCAAGGACCUAUCACCAAAACUGUUUCCUAUGAACGUGAUGCCAUGUGGAAAAAAUUACCCAUGUGUGUGUUUCUAUGCCUGUUUCCAUGUGAUCACCUUAAUAUUUCUCUCUAUCCCUUUUGCCCUAUGUUUUCUGCUUGCCCAAGAGCAGUGGAGGCUAGAUCCAGCCUUUGUUUUUUUCCAUGUCAUGCUGGAAUCCCACUUGGCAAUUGAACAGGAUGAUUCACUGUUCACAGCCUCUGUUUCAGGAAGCUGGGGGUUGCCCAAGCAUGUACCUAAUUCAUUCUUGUUAGAUGAUUAAACUUAAACCAUCGUGGAAGUCUAAAUUCCUUUGGAAGUUCUGAAGGCAUGAACUUACUUUAUGACUUUUCCUCUGUGUGGAAAGCAGGCUUAGGUUUUUUCCUAGUCGGUUUCAGUAUCAUUGUGACAGAAUGGUCAAAUGAGUUUGGUUCAAUGUUUUCCCUUUCUUUUGAAAAAUAUCUUCCAUUCCAUCAAUUGCCAAACUAAAAAUCUUAACAUCGUACCAUCUGCCUGUUUCUCUUUUUCUAUCUGUAUAUCCUGUUUGUAUGUUUUCCUUCACUGCUUAGACAGAAUCACAUUCAGUUAUAAGAAAUGUUCCAAACCUUUAUUGACCUUUUAUUAGUGUUUUUCCAAAAGUCUUCUGGGUUUAUGAUGCUAUUAAUCUUACUGGAUUUUCUGUAUUUCAAGGUGAGCAAACAGAAAAAUCCAUUAAAGCAGGAAAAACCCAAUAUACAGAAGUGUAUCAUAAAAACUAUAGUUUCUUUGUAAGACAAUGCUUUCAAUGCAACUCAAAUAGUAAAUAAUAGCUUUGUACAACCCUAUAGAUGUUUACCCAGAAUUUAGACCUGUUAAAUUACAUUAUUCUUAAUCCUGUGGUAAAUGGGAAUAAGAUUAUAGUCUUAGUGAAUUUUAGUUUUUGUUUUGCAGUUGUUCAUAUAGUUUUUUAUAUUUACUUCUAACUAACCAUUGCUUUGGUGGUUUAUUGUAUCUUGAUUGUGUCAUUUGUUCCCCUGUCAUCUGUUUUCUUGACAUCUAUCUUGUACUCCAUUUUCUUCUAACUGGCCUUAAUUUUUUUUUAAAGAUGAAACAGCAGUGGUCCAAACAUCCAGAAAGUAUCAAAUUUAAAAUAUUGCAUUUCUUGCAAAUAGUUAUUUUCACAUUAACUAAAGCUUGACUACAUUAUGUUAUGAUCAUAACACAAUUGUACUAUUUUUGUUCUGCAAUUCUUUUUAUUAUAGUUACAAUGUGUGCCUGACCCUUAAGUAUGUAUUGUACCACAACAAAAUAGCUUGUAGCAUUAUGAGUAUACUUUUCUUUUUUAAAGAAAUCACUUUUAAAUUCUCUCUGAGUAACGAGAAGGUUGAUAAUUACUUUUUGAUCCUUCACUACUACUCUGAGCCAGAAUGAAGAAGUCAAGCUACAAAAGCCAAUAGGAAAGAAUAAUAAUAAAUGGAAGUCCUCCGUCAACUCAUUAAAGAACAAUAACCAUGGAUAUGUACAUGUAGUUUAAAAAGAUUUUGUAGAACAAUAUAAAAGAUUUUAAAUAAAAAUAAAAAUCUAUUCAACAUAUAAAAUAUAUUGAAUUCCAAAAAUAAAAUAUUUUAUGUAAAGAUUCAGAAUAUUGGACAUUUGUCAACAGAUAUCUUCAGUCACAAUUUUGUAUAGUGUGCUCUACAACACAGGAAGGAAAAUAAUUAAUUGUCACCAUCUGUACUUAAUGACAAAUUCAAUCAAUUUAAAUUUUUAGAUUCAGCUCAAUUUUUAGCUAUUUUGGAUAUUUAUAAGAGAUUCUUUCCAUUUGCUCCUUGGCUUUGUUAACUGUAACUAUGGGGGGAAAACCCUGGAAUAGUGCAGUAUCUUUUCAAAUAUAAUGCUAAUGUGACUGGGGAACAGGCGGUUCAACCACCAGGCCAACUAGGCAGUUGCCUGUGGCUCCAUCUUGUUGGGGGUGCCAUUGAGGCAACUCCUGUCUCCUUUAGCCUGCCUCCGCAGGUUGCUCUUAGUUCGGGUCUCAGCGUCGUUGGAGCGGUUAAGCUCCUUUACCAGGAUAAAAAGUAAUUUUUGGAGGCCUUAAUAAUUUCGCCUGGCUAGACAGCAGUACAUGUGAAAAAGAUCUUGGAGUCCUUGUGGACAACAAGUUAAACAUGAGCCAGCAAUGUGAUGUGGCUGCUAAGAAAGCCAACGGGAUUUUGGCCUGCAUCAAUAGGGGUAUAGCAUCUAGAUCCAGGGAAGUCAUGCUACCCAUCUAUUCUGCCUUGGUCAGACCACAUCUGGAAUACUGCGUCCAAUUCUGGGCACCACAGUUGAAGGGAGAUGUUGACAAGCUGGAAUGUGUCCAGAGGAGGGCAACUAAAAUGAUCAAAGGUCUGGAGAACAAGCCCUAUGAGGAGAGGCUUAAAGAGCUGGACAUGUUUAGCCUGCAGAAGAGAAGGCUGAGAGGAGACAUGAUAACCAUGUACAAAUACGUGAGGGGAAGUCAUAGGGAUGAAGGAGCAAGCUUGUUUUCUGCUGCCCCGCAGACUAGGACGCAGAACAAUGGCUUCAAAUUAUAGGAAAGGAGAUUCCACCUGAACAUCAGGAAGAACUUCCUCACUGUGAGGGCUGUUCGGCAGUGGAACUCUCUCCCCCGGACUGUGGUGGAGGCUCCUUCUUUGGAGGCUUUUAAGCAGAGGCUGGAUGGCCAUCAGUCGGGUGUGCUUUGAAUGCGAUUUCCUGCUUCUUGGCAGGGGGUUGGACUGGAUGGCCCAUGAGGUCUCUUCCAACUCUACUAUUCUAUGAUUCUGCAAGGUAUUGAACUGCUUUUUCUGUUGAUUUGUUGUAAAACAUGAUGUUUUAGUGCUUAAUUUGUAAAAUCUUAAUGUAAUUUGAUGUUUAAUAGGCUUUUCCUUAAUCCCUCCUUAUUAUCAAACAUUUUCGCUUAUCCAACGCUUUUAUUUUUCAGUGAUUGGUUUGGGGGGGGGGGGCAAAAUUCUGUUCGCCUACACUUGAAAAAUACCUAGGGCCGGCUCUGCAUGGGGAAUAAAGUUGUUUCAUGGAUUUCAGACAGAACUAUUUUUUGAAGUAAAGAUGUAAUAGAAAUACAUAAAAUGAACAAUCCAAAUGUUGUAAAGAACACUGUUUUGUUAAGAAAUGCUUUAAAAGUUGCCUGGUCUUUUAUUUUCUUUCACUUAAUUCUCUGUCUCAGCACAUUGCUGUUUACAAGCAAAAAGUUGUUUCCAUGACUGCUGUCCUUACAAAUUCACCCCAAGUUUGGAAAGUCAAUAGUGAUGUGUUUUUGUUUUUCUUGAACUCAUGCCAGAAACAAUAUAUGAUGGCGAAUCACUAUCAGUUUAGUCUCAUAAAGCUGUAUUGUUCUGCCAGAUUUAGUAGUAAAAAUAAUUAAAUUUUUUAACAUAGUAAGCAA